RNAcentral lists this ribosomal RNA (453 nucleotides) under uncultured Prevotellaceae bacterium. RNAcentral describes it as "bacterial SSU rRNA". It matches the Rfam family "Bacterial small subunit ribosomal RNA", at positions 341 to 792 of the family's 1533-position model. The record is from RNAcentral. Lineage: Bacteria; Pseudomonadati; Bacteroidota; Bacteroidia; Bacteroidales; Prevotellaceae.
ACGGGAGGCAGCAGUGAGGAAUAUUGGUCAAUGGGCGAGAGCCUGAACCAGCCAAGUAGCGUGAAGGAUGACUGCCCUACGGGUUGUAAACUUCUUUUAUACGGGAAUAAAAAAGGCCACGCGUGGCCUCUUGCAUGUACCGUAUGAAUAAGCAUCGGCUAAUUCCGUGCCAGCAGCCGCGGUAAUACGGAAGAUGCGAGCGUUAUCCGGAUUUAUUGGGUUUAAAGGGAGCGUAGGCGGGUCUUUAAGUCAGUGGUCAAAGCGUGUGGCUCAACCAUACCACGCCAUUGAUACUGGAGACCUUGAGUGCACAUAAGGAUGGUGGAAUUCGUCGUGUAGCGGUGAAAUGCUUAGAUAUGACGAAGAACUCCGAUUGCGAAGGCAGCUGUCCGGGGUGUAACUGACGCUAAUGCUCGAAAGUGCGGGUAUCAAACAGGAUUAGAUACCCUGGUA